Long non-coding RNA from Gallus gallus (chicken), 804 nucleotides. The record is from Ensembl. NCBI's taxonomy places the organism in Eukaryota, Metazoa, Chordata, Aves, Galliformes, Phasianidae.
CUCCGCCCCUGAGGGACAGCGCGGCCGCCGAAGGGGCGAUCUGGCGCCGGGAGUCAAGUUGGGCGGUCCCCGCAGCGCUGGGGAGCAGUAGAGACUUUGGGUUUAUCUUCUCCUUUUUGAGCCCUGAGGAAACACUUGAAGAGGGGCAGAAAGGGCCGUGAGGAGAGCUCCGGGCCGAGGCAGGGCUUGCUGAGCACGCGGAGUGCGGGUACGUGUGGGCCUUGGCGCCCUCACAGGUGGGAGAGCGCAGCUCUGCUCCUUCUGACUGCAUUCAGGCUCUGCUCGUAUCUCCCUGUAUCAGGAGAUAGAGAAGUUAAUAUUUUUUUUCCCUUACUCAGACAAUGUAGUGGAAUGGUUUUUUGUCAGUUGUUCCACAUCUCUUCAUUUAAGGGAAUGUGUAGCAUGAGAAGCUCAGGAUGGAGCUUGUCCUGCGUUCUUGGAUUCCUGCUUAGUUAUGGCCAUUACUAUCUGUGUAGUAUCCCAAAUACUGUUCUUUCGCACCCUCUUAAAAAUGUGACACCUAGAGAAGUUUCAGCCUACACAUCUUGUAUUGAAGAGUCAGCGUGCUUCUUCCUCAGCCUCAGGAUGAGGUUCUGAACAUAAGAACAUGGUUACCCCGUGCACAGUGCUCGAGCACACUGUUUCCAAAGUGAUAGAGAUAGCAAAUCUGAGUUUGGAGUCACCUUCACUUCAAUAUUCUAGAGCUACAGAAUGAAGUUGAAUACAACUCAACUGAAGUUGAAUGGAGGCUUCCGUAAUGCUGAGCCAACAACAUGGCAUCCGUUAAGGACUGAUUAGUGGCAG